UUGGGAAGAAGAAAGCAGACAUCUCCUACAUGAAGUUUGGGGAGCUUGAGGGCGUCCACAAAUUCACAUGGCAGUUGAAUCCGUCUGAAGCUUAUAGUCUUGACCCAGAUGAGCCUGAAAGGAGAGAAAAGCAUCUGUCCAUCAAAAGAGCCCACUGAGAGGGUGCAAAGGCAAGCCAUGGAGCGGAAGACAUGUGCCACUUAAAUCAGCCCAGGGCCUGAGUCCGGGGUCUCAGGAGGAGAAAGACACGCCCACAGGUGAAUGCAGAGUGGAAGGCGAGGACAAGGAAGACUGCUGGGGUGUCAGGCAGCGUCUCAGCCGCCCGUCAAGUGUGUGCCUCUUGGUGACAGUUCCUUAAGUUCAGCUUAUGUUUUGAUGCAUUUUUAAACACGAAUUUUAUAUCAAUAAAUAAUAUGGUUUUCUCCUUUUCAAUUAUGGAAG
Molecule: long non-coding RNA, 441 nt
Filed under: Rattus norvegicus (Norway rat)
Lineage: Eukaryota; Metazoa; Chordata; Mammalia; Rodentia; Muridae
Description: long non-coding RNA NONRATT010966
Source: RNAcentral